This 1343-nucleotide ribosomal RNA is filed under the name uncultured bacterium. Its description in RNAcentral is "16S ribosomal RNA". It matches the Rfam family "Bacterial small subunit ribosomal RNA", at positions 28 to 1378 of the family's 1533-position model. The record is from RNAcentral.
GACGAACGCUGUCGGCGUGCUUAACACAUGCAAGUCGAACGGAAAGGCCCUGCUUUUGUGGGGUGCUCGAGUGGCGAACGGGUGAGUAACACGUGAGUAACCUGCCCUUGACUUUGGGAUAACUUCAGGAAACUGGGGCUAAUACCGGAUAGGAGCUCCUGCUGCAUGGUGGGGGUUGGAAAGUUUCGGCGGUUGGGGAUGGACUCGCGGCUUAUCAGCUUGUUGGUGGGGUAGUGGCUUACCAAGGCUUUGACGGGUAGCCGGCCUGAGAGGGUGACCGGCCACAUUGGGACUGAGAUACGGCCCAGACUCCUACGGGAGGCAGCAGUGGGGAAUAUUGCACAAUGGGCGGAAGCCUGAUGCAGCAACGCCGCGUGCGGGAUGACGGCCUUCGGGUUGUAAACCGCUUUCGCCUGUGACGAAGCGUGAGUGACGGUAAUGGGUAAAGAAGCACCGGCUAACUACGUGCCAGCAGCCGCGGUGAUACGUAGGGUGCGAGCGUUGUCCGGACUUAUUGGGCGUAAAGGGCUCGUAGGUGGUUGAUCGCGUCGGAAGUGUAAUCUUGGGGCUUAACCCUGAGCGUGCUUUCGAUACGGGUUGACUUGAGGAAGGUAGGGGAGAAUGGAAUUCCUGGUGGAGCGGUGGAAUGCGCAGAUAUCAGGAGGAACACCAGUGGCGAAGGCGGUUCUCUGGGCCUUUCCUGACGCUGAGGAGCGAAAGCGUGGGGAGCGAACAGGCUUAGAUACCCUGGUAGUCCACGCUGUAAACGGUGGGUACUAGGUGUGGGGUCCAUUCCACGGGUUCCGUGCCGUAGCUAACGCUUUAAGUACCCCGCCUGGGGAGUACGGCCGCAAGGCUAAAACUCAAAGGAAUUGACGGGGCCCCGCACAAGCGGCGGAGCAUGCGGAUUAAUUCGAUGCAACGCGUAGAACCUUACCUGGGUUUGACAUGGAUCGGGAGUGCUCAGAGAUGGGUGUGCCUCUUUUGGGGUCGGUUCACAGGUGGUGCAUGGCUGUCGUCAGCUCGUGUCGUGAGAUGUUGGGUUAAGUCCCGCAACGAGCGCAACCCUUGUUCACUGUUGCCAGCACGUUAUGGUGGGGACUCAGUGGAGACCGCCGGGGUCAACUCGGAGGAAGGUGGGGAUGACGUCAAGUCAUCAUGCCCCUUAUGUCCAGGGCUUCACGCAUGCUACAAUGGCUGGUACAGAGAGUGGCGAGCCUGUGAGGGUGAGCGAAUCUCGGAAAGCCGGUCUCAGUUCGGAUUGGGGUCUGCAACUCGACCUCAUGAAGUCGGAGUCGCUAGUAAUCGCAGAUCAGCAACGCUGCGGUGAAUACGUUCCCGGG